Molecule: ribosomal RNA, 433 nt
Filed under: uncultured bacterium
Lineage: Bacteria
Description: partial 16S ribosomal RNA
Rfam family: Bacterial small subunit ribosomal RNA
Source: RNAcentral
AACGAACGCUGGCGGCAUGCCUAACACAUGCAAGUCGAACGGGACCUUCCUGUCUAGUUGCGCACGGGUGCGUAACGCGGGGGAAGCUGCCCUUAGGUUCGGAAUAACUCCCUUUAGGGGGUGCUAAUACCGGAUAAUGUAUUCGGACAAAAGAUUUAUCGCCUGUGGGUGGGCGCGCGAUGGAUUAGCUAGUUGGUAGGGUAAAAGCCUAUCACGGCGACGAUCCAUAGCUGGUCUGAGAGGAAGAUCAGCCACACUUGGGCUAGGACACGGCCCAGAAUACUACGGGAGGGAGGAGUGGGUAAUAUAGGACAAUGGGCGAAAGGCUGAUCCAGCAAGGCCGGGUGAGUGAUGAAGGCCUUAGGGUAGUAAAGCUCUUUUACCCGGGAUGAUAAUGACGGUACCGGGAGAAUAAGCACCGGCUAACUCCGUG